CCUGCAGAAUAAGAUAUCGAAUCUUUCUCGUCUCUGACAGGAGCUCCCUUGAGAGACGAGGAACCUCCAAUUUAGGGAUGGAUCUUUCCUUCCAUUCAGGAAAAACUGUGACUGCUUUGUACACUUCGCUGCUACUCAGCGUGCCUGGCCAGGAUUCCUGAUUUUCCACUGGCCACGUCUGAGAGAAGUCUCACCAGCAGGCUGCAAGAUGGACUGUCGCAUUUGCUUGGAGUCAUUACAUCUUAUGCGUUGAAAGCAGCUGAAUCAUUGACAGAGCUCUCUGUGCAGUUAGAAAUAGAGUCCCUGCCACAGGCAGUGAUGUGGUCAUGUCCGUGGCUACAGAGGGAAUUCCAGAUAGCAAUCUGGGACCAUGUGGUGCAGUGAUUAAGCCUCCAGCAACUGCCCAAAGAAUGUGAGAACAGGAAGAGCUAUGAGACCCUCAGUAUGGUCUGUGCCUCUCAUUCUAGCAGCUGGGAGGCCCGAGCCCAAAAAGGGGAGGAUGUCGGCGAAGGUCACACCGGCAGUCACUGGCCAAUCUGGAGCCUGACCCUUCAACACCUGCAACACUUCUGGUCUCUGGCGCUGCCGAGGCAGGUUCAACCACAGGUAGUGCCGUGAGGUGAGAACUCUAGCAGAAGGGUGUGUGGGGAGCUCUGGGGUCCUGAGCCCGUUACCUCUGAGUAAUGUUUCCUUGUCCAUGGA
Molecule: long non-coding RNA, 702 nt
Organism: Canis lupus familiaris (dog)
Lineage: Eukaryota; Metazoa; Chordata; Mammalia; Carnivora; Canidae
Exons: 3
Source: RefSeq, a predicted model, not a curated record